GACGAACGCUGGCGGCGUGCUUAACACAUGCAAGUCGAACGGAAAGGCCCUGCUUGCAGGGUACUCGAGUGGCGAACGGGUGAGUAACACGUGGGUGAUCUGCCCUGCACUUCGGGAUAAGCCUGGGAAACUGGGUCUAAUACCGGAUAGGACCAUCGUUUAGUGUCGGUGGUGGAAAGUUUUUCGGUGCAGGAUGAGCUCGCGGCCUAUCAGCUUGUUGGUGGGGUAAUGGCCUACCAAGGCGUCGACGGGUAGCCGGCCUGAGAGGGUGGACGGCCACAUUGGGACUGGGACACGUCCCAGACUCCGACGGGAGGCAGCAGUGGGGAAUAUUGAACAAUGGGCGCAAGCCUGAUGCAGCGACGCCGCGUGGGGGAUGAAGGCCUUCGGGUUGUAAACUCCUUUCAACCAUGACGAAGCAUUAUGUGACGGUAGUGGUAGAAGAAGCACCGGCUAACUACGUGCCAGCCGCCGCAGUAA
Molecule: ribosomal RNA, 480 nt
Filed under: uncultured bacterium
Lineage: Bacteria
Description: partial 16S ribosomal RNA
Rfam family: Bacterial small subunit ribosomal RNA
Source: RNAcentral